RNAcentral lists this ribosomal RNA (385 nucleotides) under Bacillus sp. 7DB1. Its description in RNAcentral is "bacterial SSU rRNA". It matches the Rfam family "Bacterial small subunit ribosomal RNA", at positions 530 to 917 of the family's 1533-position model. The record is from RNAcentral. Lineage: Bacteria; Bacillati; Bacillota; Bacilli; Caryophanales; Bacillaceae.
AGGGGCAGCGUUGUCGGAUUAUUGGGCGUAAGGGCUCGCAGGCGGUUUCUUAAGUCUGAUGUGAAAGCCCCCGGCUCAACCGGGGAGGGUCAUUGGAAACUGGGAAACUUGAGUGCAGAAGAGGAGAGUGGAAUUCCACGUGUAGCGGUGAAAUGCGUAGAGAUGUGGAGGAACACCAGUGGCGAAGGCGACUCUCUGGUCUGUAACUGACGCUGAGGAGCGAAAGCGUGGGGAGCGAACAGGAUUAGAUACCCUGGUAGUCCACGCCGUAAACGAUGAGUGCUAAGUGUUAGGGGGUUUCCGCCCCUUAGUGCUGCAGCUAACGCAUUAAGCACUCCGCCUGGGGAGUACGGUCGCAAGACUGAAACUCAAGGAAUUUGACGGA